UACCAGGAAUGUGUUUAGAACGCUCGAGAGCC
Molecule: non-coding RNA, 32 nt
Filed under: Geobacter sulfurreducens PCA
Lineage: Bacteria; Pseudomonadati; Thermodesulfobacteriota; Desulfuromonadia; Geobacterales; Geobacteraceae
Source: RNAcentral